This 164-nucleotide small RNA is filed under the name Mytilus galloprovincialis (Mediterranean mussel). Lineage: Eukaryota; Metazoa; Mollusca; Bivalvia; Mytilida; Mytilidae. The record is from RNAcentral.
UCGAGAAAUCGGGAAAUCGAGAAAUCGAGAAAUUGGGAAAUCGGGAAAUCGGGAAAUCGAGAAAGCAUAAUUCGCGUUUUUGCUUUCUCGAUUUCUCGAUUUCCUGAUUUCCCUAUUUCUCGAUUUCCCUGUUUCUCGAUUUCUCAAUUUCUCGAUCUCGAUUU